Molecule: long non-coding RNA, 1444 nt
Organism: Heterocephalus glaber (naked mole-rat)
Lineage: Eukaryota; Metazoa; Chordata; Mammalia; Rodentia; Bathyergidae
Source: Ensembl
CUCCAGGUUGCUUAGGGAAGCCUCAGAGCUCAGGUGGCUGAGAAUGACAGUACACAUCAGGCGAUGGAGAUGUUUCUCUUUCUUCUGAUAAGCACUUAAAUGCUUACCAGGUUCCACUACCUGGGCAACAAAUGUCAUCCUUGCCUUUGGCUGUGGAUUGGUGCAUUUGAUCCUAUCAAUCCCUUGUUUUCAGCCUAAUCCAACUUCCCCAAAACAUGGGGAAAAGAAGAGGAGAAUAUCAGAAAGCUUUCAAAUUUGCAACUGCAAGACUGAUACACAUUUUGCAAGGAUCUGUCUGAUGUGUACAACAAACAUUGGAAUUAAGGCUUCUACAAUACUGGUAUGUGGUCAAGUCUAUGGCUGUGCAAUGCUGGACUUCCGCAAAGCAUCUCCAGCUUCCACUGUUACCCAACUUGUAAACCAGAAGAUGUGCUGAUGUAGGUGGAUAGCAGCUCCAAGACAAGUCUGAGAGCACUGAACACAUUAAGAAGUGAUUGCUGAGCCCGUUAGGGACAGGCACGUCUGCGGACACUGUAGCAGGGUCCCCGGCCGCGGAGAACACGCCGAUCCGGCCCGUUUUGGACAGGCACGUCUGCGGACACCGUACCAGGGUCCCUGGCUGCGGGGAACAAGCUGAUCCAGCCUGUGGACAGGAACAUCUGUGGAAGCCAUAGCAGGGUACCCUGCCGCGGGGAAUAUGCCAGUCUAGCCUGUUUCAGACAGGCAUGCCUAAGGACAAUGUAGCAGGGUCCCUGGCCAAGGGGAAUAUGCCGGUCCAGUGUGUUUUGGACAGGCACAUCUGCGGAUGCCGUAGUAGGGAUCCUGGCCAUGGGGAACAUGCUCGAGCACCGUGUUUCGGACAGGGAUCCACACAUGACCUGUCUACCUUGUAGAGCCAAGAUGGAAUGCAGAGGAAAGUACUGAUUACAAUGUUAUUUCACAACUAGAAUUAUACUGGAAGAAAGAGUGAAAAUAGUCAGAAUUGCCUUAUUUAAGAUUUUUCUUUGCAUUAAGAAAUAGUCCUUAUUUUUGCUUAUAAAUGUAAAUGUAAAGCCACAGGAAAACCAGACACCUCUGACCUUUAUCACUGAGCCUAAAAUUUCCUGCCCUUGUCUUUUGGACCCUGAGGAUGAGGUUUCCAAGACAACCCUAAUCAAAGCCUCAUCUACUACUAUACUACUACGAAGCUUAAGGGUUUUUCCCACUUGCCCUUUGGAGUCUGAGAUCCCUCCCCCUUACCCUUUGGGGUCUAAGGGUGAGGCUUCUAAACCAGCCAUAAUUAAAGCCUCUGUGUGACUAUAUCCAUCUGUAGCUGAUUUUGUUCAAGCCCCUCAAGGACAAAACCCCUUAUAAGAAGUAAAUGGUGAAUUUGCACAUGUGUGUGUCCAUAUAUCUUUUUCUCUCAGUGAUCUCAAACAGAUCAAAUGAGACCUAGGAAAGUUUU